GGGGGUUGAUACGAGUUAGAAUGAUAUUUUUUUCAUGCAAUCGUAUGAGAGGUCGAACAACAGGUUGAUGAUUGUCCGACAAUGCUGGAACAACCUCCGAUUGACUUUUAAUCACUUUUCCAUUCUCUAUAACCUGGUCAUUUUCAGCAUAUUGCUUUAGAAUUAUCUUGUCGUCUUGAUAUCGCUUAACCUCCGCCAGCAUGCCAUUAGCACGCUGUGG
RNAcentral lists this unclassified non-coding RNA (220 nucleotides) under Hevea brasiliensis (rubber tree). The record is from RNAcentral. Lineage: Eukaryota; Viridiplantae; Streptophyta; Magnoliopsida; Malpighiales; Euphorbiaceae.